AGAGUUUGAUCCUGGCUCAGAUUGAACGCUGGCGGCAUGCCUUACACAUGCAAGUCGAACGGCAGCACGGGUGCUUGCACCUGGUGGCGAGUGGCGAACGGGUGAGUAAUAUAUCGGAACGUACCUUAUCGUGGGGGAUAACGCAGCGAAAGCUGCGCUAAUACCGCAUACGCCCUGAGGGGGAAAGCGGGGGACCGUAAGGCCUCGCGCGAUUAGAGCGGCCGAUAUCUGAUUAGCUUGUUGGUGGGGUAAAAGCCCACCAAGGCGACGAUCAGUAGCUGGUCUGAGAGGACGAUCAGCCACACUGGGACUGAGACACGGCCCAGACUCCUACGGGAGGCAGCAGUGGGGAAUUUUGGACAAUGGGGGCAACCCUGAUCCAGCAAUGCCGCGUGAGUGAAGAAGGCCUUCGGGUUGUAAAGCUCUUUUGUCAGGGAAGAAACAGCAGCUCUAACACAGUCUGCGAAUGACGGUACCUGAAGAAUAAGCACCGGCUAACUACGUGCCAGCAGCCGCGGUAAUACGUAGGGUGCAAGCGUUAAUCGGAAUUACUGAGCGUAAAGCGUGCGCAGGCGGUUAUACAAGACAGGCGUGANAUCCCCGGG
RNAcentral lists this ribosomal RNA (605 nucleotides) under uncultured freshwater bacterium. RNAcentral describes it as "bacterial SSU rRNA". It matches the Rfam family "Bacterial small subunit ribosomal RNA", at positions 8 to 607 of the family's 1533-position model. The record is from RNAcentral.